GACGAACGCUGGCGGCGUGCCUAAUACAUGCAAGUCGAGCGGUAAGGCCCUUCGGGGUACACGAGCGGCGGACGGCUGAGUAACACGUAGGAACGUACCCCAAACUGAGGGAUAAGCACCAGAAAUGGUGUCUAAUACCGCAUGUGGCCCACGGGCUAAAGCACCGCCGGGUUGGGAACGGCCUGCGUCCGAUUAGCUAGUUGGUAGUGUAAUAGACUACCAAGGCGACGAUCGGUAGCUGGUCUGAGAGGAUGAUCAGCCAGACUAGGACUGAGACACGGCCCAGACUCCUACGGGAGGCAGCAGUAGGGAAUUUUCCACAAUGGGGGCAACCCUGAUGGAGCAACGCCGCGUGCAGGAUGAAGGCCUUCGGGUUGUAAACUGCUUUUAUCUGUGACGAUUAUGACGGUAGCAGAUGAAUAAGGACCUGCUAACUACGUGCCAGCCGCCGCGGUAA
RNAcentral lists this ribosomal RNA (457 nucleotides) under uncultured bacterium. RNAcentral's name for it is "partial 16S ribosomal RNA". It matches the Rfam family "Bacterial small subunit ribosomal RNA", at positions 28 to 523 of the family's 1533-position model. The record is from RNAcentral.